GUCCUCGUGGAGCAAUGAAGCUCACUCCCGCCUACUGUACCGUAGGUGAUGCCAUUUCUGGGAGCGCCGGUGGUUCGAACCCACCCGAGGACA
Molecule: non-coding RNA, 93 nt
Organism: Mycena leptocephala
Lineage: Eukaryota; Fungi; Basidiomycota; Agaricomycetes; Agaricales; Mycenaceae
Source: the annotation of a GenBank genome assembly